Molecule: long non-coding RNA, 313 nt
Organism: Hypanus sabinus (Atlantic stingray)
Lineage: Eukaryota; Metazoa; Chordata; Chondrichthyes; Myliobatiformes; Dasyatidae
Exons: 4
Source: RefSeq, a predicted model, not a curated record
GAGAAGAACACCAACAGUUCUCCAGUCUAUAACCAGAGGUAAAAAACUAUUGAUUUCCACAAGAUUUAUGUAUGAUAUUGGAAAGAUGUCUCAGAAAGAAUGCUCCAGUUAUGUUGCUAAGCUCCAUCUCCCAAGAUCUAGAGGCCAUUUUCAAUUCUGAGAGUCAGAUGCUACUUAAGAGGCAUGCUUGUGGUUAACACCUAUCCAGGUACUGCAAACAUUCUUAGAAGAAAAUUGGACUCACUUUGAGAAAUAUGAGGUUGAUAUCUAUAUCGCCGGGAUGGUAAUACACAGUCUGCCACAAAGACCAGAA